UACGUAGGGGGCGAGCGUUGUCCGGAAUUAUUGGGCGUAAAGAGCGUGUAGGCGGUUCGGUAAGUCUGCCGUGAAAUCCUGGGGCUCAACCCCGGGCGUGCGGUGGAUACUGCCGGGCUAGAGGGUGGUAGAGGCGAGUGGAAUUCCCGGUGUAGCGGUGAAAUGCGCAGAUAUCGGGAGGAACACCAGUAGCGAAGGCGACUACCUGGCCUGUUCUUGACGCUGAGGCGCGAAAGCUAGGGGAGCAAACGGG
RNAcentral lists this ribosomal RNA (253 nucleotides) under uncultured bacterium. RNAcentral's name for it is "partial 16S ribosomal RNA". It matches the Rfam family "Bacterial small subunit ribosomal RNA", at positions 524 to 776 of the family's 1533-position model. The record is from RNAcentral.